This 371-nucleotide long non-coding RNA is filed under the name Manihot esculenta (cassava). RNAcentral describes it as "long non-coding RNA (MESC_LNC006430)". Lineage: Eukaryota; Viridiplantae; Streptophyta; Magnoliopsida; Malpighiales; Euphorbiaceae. The record is from RNAcentral.
UUGUCACUACAAAACCAGGAAAAUCUACCAAGUCUGAUAUACUUUGAGUUCAUUUGACUACACUUCAUCUAAAUAAUCAAGUGAAAAUAAAAUGUAACUACCAUGAAAUAUUUUUAAAUUUAAGGAAGAGGUGACCAUAAGCCUUGUUAUCAGCACCUCCAAAAUAAACAUUCAGUCGAGACAAUGACCGACAUCAAACUUACCCAAAUUAGUCAAUUUAAGUCUUUACAGUUACCAUCGGUCUUCAAAUGUUCAUACAACGUUGUGUCACAGAAUAUGAAUUGAACAUUUAGCAUCCAUUUGUUUCACAUAAAACAUCUUCCAAAAAAAUAUUUUUCACAUUUCCUAAGAUUCGAAACAUUCAAAAAAAU